RNAcentral lists this unclassified non-coding RNA (278 nucleotides) under Hevea brasiliensis (rubber tree). Lineage: Eukaryota; Viridiplantae; Streptophyta; Magnoliopsida; Malpighiales; Euphorbiaceae. The record is from RNAcentral.
AAACAUAUGAGGACUGUUCAAAAGAUGGAAUUGGUCAUUUAUUGUCAUAAAGUUCAACUGUUCAGCAGGAAAUCAGGAAGUUGGUACAGAGAGAAUGUGCCAAUUUUCAGCACUUCUUGACAUAUCAGUAUAAAAUUAAAUGCUACAGCAAUUUUCAUUAUGGAAUACAACAAUAAUAAGAUGAAAAUUUGAAACCUAACUUGAUUAAAUGGACUAAGAGACUAAUCAAUAACAAAGGAAAGACCUAAGCAACUGGAAAUACCAAUUAACAAAACAAG